ACGGGCAUUGCUAGUACGGCGAGUGAGCGGCAACAGCUCAAAUUUGAAAGCUAGCCUUCGGGUUCGCAUUGUAAUUUGUAGAGGAUGCUUUGGGUAAAACGCCAGUCUAAGUUCCUUGGAACAGGACGUCAUAGAGGGUGAGAAUCCCGUAUGUGACUGGAAAUGUUAACCUAUGUAAAGCUCCUUCGACGAGUCGAGUUGUUUGGGAAUGCAGCUCUAAAUGGGAGGUAAAUUUCUUCUAAAGCUAAAUAUUGGCGAGAGACCGAUAGCGCACAAGUAGAGUGAUCGAAAGAUGAAAAGCACUUUGGAAAGAGAGUUAAAAAGCACGUGAAAUUGUUGAAAGGGAAGCGCUUGCAAUCAGACUUGUUUAAACUGUUCGGCCGGUCUUCUGACCGGUUUACUCAGUUUGGACAGGCCAGCAUCAGUUUCGGCGGCCGGAUAAAGGCUCUGGGAAUGUGGCCUCCACUUCGGUGGAGGUGUUAUAGCCCAGUGUGUAAUACGGCCAGCCGGGACUGAGGUCCGCGCUUCGGCUAGGAUGCUGGCGUAAUGGUUGUAAGCGACCCGUCUGA
RNAcentral lists this ribosomal RNA (569 nucleotides) under Aureobasidium namibiae. Its description in RNAcentral is "eukaryotic LSU rRNA". It matches the Rfam family "Eukaryotic large subunit ribosomal RNA", at positions 68 to 656 of the family's 3401-position model. The record is from RNAcentral. Lineage: Eukaryota; Fungi; Ascomycota; Dothideomycetes; Dothideales; Saccotheciaceae.